This 495-nucleotide ribosomal RNA is filed under the name uncultured bacterium. RNAcentral's name for it is "bacterial SSU rRNA". It matches the Rfam family "Bacterial small subunit ribosomal RNA", at positions 903 to 1397 of the family's 1533-position model. The record is from RNAcentral.
AAAUGAAUUGACGGGGGCCCGCACAAGCGGUGGAGCAUGUGGUUUAAUUCGAAGCAACGCGAAGAACCUUACCAGGUCUUGACAUCCCUCUGACCGGUCAGUAACGUGACCUUUCCUUCGGGACAGAGGAGACAGGUGGUGCAUGGUUGUCGUCAGCUCGUGUCGUGAGAUGUUGGGUUAAGUCCCGCAACGAGCGCAACCCUUAUCUUUAGUAGCCAGCAAGUGAAGUUGGGAACUCUAGAGAGACUGCCGGGGAUAACUCGGAGGAAGGUGGGGAUGACGUCAAAUCAUCAUGCCCCUUAUGAUCUGGGCUACACACGUGCUACAAUGGCGGAAACAAAGGGAAGCGAAAGGGUGACCUGGAGCAAACCCCAUAAAAUUCGUCCCAGUUCGGAUUGUAGUCUGCAACUCGACUACAUGAAGUUGGAAUCGCUAGUAAUCGCGAAUCAGAAUGUCGCGGUGAAUACGUUCCCGGGCCUUGUACACACCGCCCGU